This 376-nucleotide RNase P RNA is filed under the name Citricoccus muralis. Its description in RNAcentral is "RNase P RNA component class A". It matches the Rfam family "Bacterial RNase P class A". From Rfam's summary of the family: Ribonuclease P (RNase P) is a ubiquitous endoribonuclease, found in archaea, bacteria and eukarya as well as chloroplasts and mitochondria. Its best characterised activity is the generation of mature 5'-ends of tRNAs by cleaving the 5'-leader elements of precursor-tRNAs. The record is from RNAcentral. Lineage: Bacteria; Bacillati; Actinomycetota; Actinomycetes; Micrococcales; Micrococcaceae.
AUGGAGCGGCGGAUGGCCGCGUGCCGCACGCUCGUCGUGACGGUACGAGGAACGUCCGGGCACCACAGAGCAGGAUGGUGGGUAACGCCCACUCGGGGUAACCCGCAGGACAGUGCCACAGAAAGCAGACCGCCCCGUCACGGGGUGAGGGUGAAAGGGUGGUGUAAGAGACCACCAGCGGUCCAGGUGACUGGAUCGGAUCGGUAAACCCCAUCCGGUGCAAGACCGAACAGGAUGUGCUUGACGGCGGCUCGCCGGAGCAUCCGGGUUGGUCGCUCGAGCGCGUCGGCAACGGCGCGCCUAGAUGGAUGGCCAUCACCGGGGAGCGGGUAACGGCUCCCCGGGACAGAACCCGGCGUAUGCCCGCUCCAUCCCG